Molecule: ribosomal RNA, 239 nt
Filed under: uncultured Acanthamoeba
Lineage: Eukaryota; Discosea; Longamoebia; Acanthamoebidae
Description: partial 18S ribosomal RNA
Rfam family: Eukaryotic small subunit ribosomal RNA
Source: RNAcentral
CUCAUUAAAUCAGUUAUAGUUUAUUUGAUGGUCUCUUUUGUCUUUUUUUACUACUUGGAUAACCGUAGGUAAUUCUAGAGCUAAUACAUGCGCAAGGUCCCGACGCGCGGGGGAGUGGGGCGUUCACGGCUCUGUCCUCGCAUGCGCAGAGGGAUGUAUUAUUAGGUUAAAAACCAAGCAGCCAGCAAUGGCUACAAUCUCCUGGUGAUUCAUAGUAACUCUUUCGGAUCGCAUUCAUG